CAACCACAUAGAAGGUGUCUGUGUUGAUGUCUGUUAACUGCAGAUCAUGCAGCCACCCAGAUAAGCUUCAGUAGUUGCUAGUAGUAUAAUCACAACAGUAUAAGGGUUUUACUGAACUUCUUGGAGAUACUUUAUGGUAGCUCUGAGAGUGUCAAAACAGCUUUCGAGGCUUCUCAGGUGUGCAGGGUGAGAGAAGAUAGAGAAGGAUGUUUGAACAAGCAGAGCAGCAUGGUAGAAAUCAGCUGUCAGACUGUCUUAGCUUGCUGUGGCAUUGCAGCCUAAGCAGUGGCUUUUCCAUGUGGUGAGCCAUCGGGCAGAUAUGGUGAGUUAGUUUUGGCUGUGUAUGCUCAAAAUUCCAUCACACGUACCUUUAAAAAGACCUUCCCUCUAGUAGCAUCUCUCUCAAACAGUGAAUUUACUUUGUUGCAGAUCCAGCUUUUGUUGCAGUACUUGAAGAAUGACCCCAGGAAGGCUGUGAAGAGACUUGCAAUCCAAGAUUUAAAGUUGCUGGCCAACAAGACACCACAUACGUGGAGCAGAGAAAACAUUCAGGCACUCUGAAUCUGCUCUUCACACUCCUUAUGACAGCUUGAAGCUGGGCAUGCUGUCUAUUCUUUCCGUGUUAUCGGGGACCAUUGCCAUAAACAGUACUUCAGCACUGCUCCAGGUCUUUGCCGUUUCCAGUCCCAGGAGCUCUGCAGGAAGGGCCAACUCAUGCGAAUUGCAGAGCAACCAUCUUUCCCUCCUGCAUCCAGCCGGAGAGCAUAGCCUGUCAGCACUGACCGUGCUUUGCAAGGCUGGGAAAAACACCCCGAUGUGGAAGAGAGCAUCCACUCCGCUGAUGUCCGCAGGAGCAGCGUCUUCCCUUCUUGCUGCCAGCCCCGCUUCCCUCCCCGCGAUUUCCAGGUCAAAGACACAGCGAAGAGCCCGAGUCGGAGACAGCCAAAAAGUUCGGUAGAGGAAGCUCUGGCUCAGCGUCUUCACUGUUCGCACUGUUUGCGCUGCCUCGCCUCCGCUUUAACCCGCUCAGGCACUGCCGGCCGGGACAGCCCGCAGCCUCCACCGCAGAGGCGGGCAGGAGCAGCACGGCUGGGCCGGCAGCACUGUCCUGGCACUUACACGGAGGGAAGGGAGGAGAAGAAAAGUGAGAGGAAAAGGAGCAGAGGGAAAAUGCGAGUACGAAGAAGCCGCAGACAGCAAGGGAGAGGCAGGCGCGGGCUGCACUGGCACCCAGCGACGGCGGCCGGGACCGCUCCGGGAAGCGGCGGCGCUGGCUCCGGACCGGGCACCGCGACGGGAAGGGGAGUGGAGGAAUCUCUCCUGAGGACUGGGCUUCCCAAAGCCCCUGCUCCUAAACUGGAGGAGCUGGGAGUUUCUAAUAACCUACAUUUUGGGGCGGGGAGAAAGGAAAGGGAAAAAGAAAAAGGGAAAAAGGAAAAAAAUCCAAACCUCGACCUUUUCCCAUGUAGUCCUCAAGGGUGCUUGUCCAAGCCACGAAAAUGGGAAGUGCCUGGGGGAAGGUCGCAUGCAUUUCACUCUUUGUAUGGCACCAGACUGUGUUACUUUCCAGUGCAGCUGAAGGAGAAAUGAAGCCUUACUGGUGAGAACUGAACAAAUCUUUCCAGAUUCAUCUACCUGUGUUUCACAAGUCUGAGAGCAAAUCUGUCUUUUCCUGCAAGAUAAAAAACAUUUUGCAUUUCA
Melopsittacus undulatus (budgerigar) is the source of this 1701-nucleotide long non-coding RNA. RefSeq lists it as uncharacterized. NCBI's taxonomy places the organism in Eukaryota, Metazoa, Chordata, Aves, Psittaciformes, Psittaculidae. The record is from RefSeq and is a predicted model, not a curated record. The transcript has 3 exons.